CACCGGCCCGGCAGCCCCCUGCCGUCCGUCCCUGCGCCCCGAGCGGGGGUGUCGGCCCGGGAGGCUGGAGCGGGAGAAGGUUGUAUGUACACACACACACACACACACACACACACACACAAAACACAGCACAACACAACACGACGCGUCGAUUUCCCUUCGCUCCUCUUCCAGCUGUUUUCUGUGCCGGCGACUGGGGUUUGGGGUUUGUUUGCUGGUUGUUGCUUUUGCCCCUCUCGGGAGAGCAGCGGUCUGCAAAUCUGCCCUGGGUACUGGAGUACCCAGCUCCCGCCUUGGAAGACGACCCGCGCGCUCCACUCGCAGCUAAUUCGGGAUCAUUAAUUUAAUCGGAAAUGAGGUAACCAGUGCAGGAGAUACAGAAAGCAAACCGAGCAUCAAAUGGCAGUUCUGGUGAAUCCACGCUGAAGAACUUCCUCUGCGCUCAAUUUUCAAGCGCGGUUCUCAACUGCCCACCACCCCGCCCCCUCCGCGUGUACCACCGCUGGGUGCUAGCAUCCCGGGGAGGAAAUCUUAUGUGGAAGGGUGCACCUUGCCAACAGGUGUGGCACCUGGAGGAAGAGAAGGCACAUCCAUGCGGAAGGGAGCUCGGUGCGGCGUUCUCCCUGCUGCAGAUAAUUCUGGAAGACCAGUAGGUGUCGGGGCAGCAUUUGACCUCUUUCAGGUGCUUAGAACCAAGUGUCUAGAAACACGAUCUUUCCACGUAAGUUUCUCUCGGCAAGCCACCACUAUUGACUGUAAGCUGUAUCUGAGAAACCUUUGGCUGAGUUUGCUUAUGACCUAACGGUUAGUCACCAACCGAAGCAGGGUACAGAAUCACCCAGAGAAAUGUGUCAGCUUUGAAACAACUGUAUCGUAGAGCCAACGUGCUCCAGAAAUAAAAAUAAGCCUGCUAACAACUAGGAAGGUGUGGAGCCCCGGAAAUAAUUUUUUUCUCGCAUUUUGAAAUAUCAUGCACAUAUACGUGGCUAUUUAAAUAAGACUACUGUUCACUCUUACUCGUUUCUACAACUUUUUCUUUUUCUUUUUUUUUUUUUUUUCCAUUUAAAAAGCAGUGCUUGUUACAGUUUAAACCCCAGGUUGGUCUAAAGUGGCAUUGUUGGUCUCAUUACAGCCUCUAGUGGACAGUUAAAAUCAGUUUCCUGAAAAGGCUCUUCCUGGUGUUUUGUUGUUGACAAGCAUUGUCAAGGUGAAGGCUAAUAUCUCAGAACGUAAGUGGGGAGUAGCUCCUCCCUCCCCCUGCUUGGCCGAGUGGGCUCCUGAAAGGAGAAGCAGUUGGUUCAGCACCGAAGAGACGAGACGUAUGCUUUGUGCUGCAGGUAUGUAAUUAUUACUGGCCUGCGAAUAAACAGAGAGCUCUGCUCCUCGUUUCUGUUUGAGACAGCUUUCAUAAAAACUAACUUCAUCUAAAAUAUUUUUGUAACAGAAAAUAUUGGUUGCCAUGUUUUUGGCUUAGCCGAGGUGUUUUUAUUCUGACUGCCCAAUCCACCUCCACUCUAUUUUUAGACAUCUUCCAUUGAGAGUAUUUUCAGCCAAAAACAGCUAAUAUUUUAAUUAUUACAUUGACACAGGCAGUUAAUUUAAGUUAUUUUAACAACCUUAAACAAAUUAAAACACAUAACUCAGAUUAGAGUUAGUCAAUUAAUUUAAAUGUUCCCUUAAGGAGGCUAAAUAUGUAUAUUACCCAAACAGUAAAGACAAUUAAUAAGAAAUGUGUCAUUUCCUUUCUUAGCCAUUAAGAUUAAAGCCAUAAACUGCCAUGAAAGUCUGUAACUGUUCCUUCCUGCGAGGUCUCGCUUAAAUGGUAUUCUCGCGAUACAGUUUCAUUACCUUUAGUGUUGAAAUGUUUUCUUUUCAGACGGCCAACAAUCACAAAUAACUGACUCUUUAUAAACAAGGUUUUCUGAUGGAGAUAAAGCCUCAGGGAAAGAGCAGGGCUUUCAAGAAGUUAGUAGCAAGUAUAUGCUACUAUGGUCCUAUUCAUCUACCUGCUAUUGUAUUCAUAUAAGCUUAAGUCACAUUUCAAAAUUAAAGGAAAUCGAGAGAUAAGGCCUGCUGAGCCUUACCCCUGCUCUGUGUUCUGCAUUGCUCAAACACCGUGGAAAAUCAUUUUUAUCCCCUAUAUCUACUUCGUUGUUUUGAUAGUAUCUACUUUUGAGGGCUUAAAGUAGGCUAUUGGGUAAAUACGAUAUCCUAUAAUUAUGUGUUACAUUUUGCUUCGAAAAGCCUCAUCUUCAGAGCCGUGGCAGCAUCCGGGAGCUUUUUGGAAAUUCAGUAUGAGAGUUCCACCCCAGACCUACUGAAUUGCAAUCUGCCUUUUAACCAGCAACCCUGAUGAUUCCUAAGCACACUGUAGUAUGAAGAAUGCCGUCUGUACCACAGGGCUCUGUCUAGGUGAAUUGGCCCACAGACGCAGAACAUAAUUCUUCUAUUUAUUCCUCUUUUGUUCCCUCCCCUUUUAACUAAUUUGCACUUUUUUUUUUUUAUUUUUUUUUUAAUUUUUUUUUUUAACGUUUUUAUUUAUUUUUGAGACAGAGA
Lynx canadensis (Canada lynx) is the source of this 2556-nucleotide long non-coding RNA. NCBI's taxonomy places the organism in Eukaryota, Metazoa, Chordata, Mammalia, Carnivora, Felidae. The record is from Ensembl.